This is a long non-coding RNA of Scatophagus argus, 705 nucleotides long. RefSeq lists it as uncharacterized. The transcript is spliced from 4 exons. The record is from RefSeq and is a predicted model, not a curated record. Lineage: Eukaryota; Metazoa; Chordata; Actinopteri; Scatophagidae.
UCAUCUGCUCUGUGGUCACUUAACUGGAUAAUUCCUUCCCACUCCUUGUCAGAUUGUUGUGUUGUGCUGGCAUUUUAUUUUUGCCUCUGUACUGUAUUCCGUUUUUCUGUUUACCUAAACUUGUUUCUGCCUGCCUGACCUGCCUGUUUGACUUUUGUUGCAUGAUAUUGGAUUUUGGAUUCCUGCCUACUCCUUGUCGGAUUUGUUUGCCUGUUUGGACUGCUCUCUAUGGCUCUGCCUGCACCAUUCGGACGGCAGGUGGACAAAGUGAAACAGAGGAGGAUGAACUUGAAGACAGAGCGAGGAGACGGUGCCAUUGAUUUGACAGCCUACAGGUCCGGACAUGCAGUUUCCAGCAUCCAAGCUGGGCCACAUCUGUUCAAGGCUUACACUCAAACAUAUGACCCACUGGCCUGUAUGGACUCUGGAAACUUGAACAACUGGGAGAGCCCCAUGCAAAUCCAGUGGAGGAAACCCACAAAGCACCAGGGAGAAGAUUUAUCAUCAUGGCCUUUUCACUUGAACGCAUUCUGAGCAAUGCCCGCAGACUCUGUGCUCCCAGAGCGGCACAUGGUGUGAAAGCAGUGGAGAAAGAAAAGCCAGUUUCUUCCACCUCACCCCGCUGCCCGCAUGUAGCGCAGUGAGAUUCAGCACCAUGGACAGAGUCUGAUGUCAGUCUGAUGGGGGGGAAACUGAACGCUGGCU